This is a long non-coding RNA of Paramisgurnus dabryanus, 1077 nucleotides long. RefSeq lists it as uncharacterized. The record is from RefSeq and is a predicted model, not a curated record. NCBI's taxonomy places the organism in Eukaryota, Metazoa, Chordata, Actinopteri, Cypriniformes, Cobitidae.
UUGACCCAAUUCCUGGGUUGUUUGGGUUUCUGGGUUAUUUUUCAAAGGUUAACCCAUGUUCUGGGUUAACGCCCCGCCCCUCGCUGUUCUGGAAUUUUCUCACAACAGUCGAUUGAAAUAACUGUCACCGGAGUUCGCGGCGCGCUCGAUCCGUUUUGGCCUGGGCUUCUUCGUUGUGUAUUCAAGGUCUGUUUAAAUGGACAGCUUUGUCACUGACAAGUUAACUGAGUGGCGGCUGUUUGAGCUGACAGAGACAUUUUUGAGGCCAUCUACAGGGUUGAGAAGAAGACUAUCCGGCAUUCCACUGAAUCCCUGACAGCGUUCAUACACCAAAUGUCUGUUGGAACAAAUAUGGUGGAAUACAGUGGCGGCUCGUGACUGCUCAUCAGAGGAUGCGCUAAUUCAAAAUAAGUGUUCAGAUUGUCACGUGUGUGGUUCCCUUUUCCAAAAUAUGUGUCCUGCGUGUCGAGAGAUCCUGUGUACAUCACGUGUUUUGUCAAAAUAAGUGCCUGCUGCACACGCGUCAAAACCGUUUAUGAUAAAAGAGACGCUCAUGUUUCUAAAAUACACGCCAGACACUUCCUUAACAGUAAACUCCUAUUAUGCAUGAGAUUAUGCGAGUAUCUGGCAAACGCGAGGAUCUCUUUUAUCAUAAACCCUUUAAACGCGUCUGCAGCAGGAACUUAUUUUGACAUGACACGUGAUGCACACAGGAUCUCUCGAUGGGCAGAAUACAUAUUUUAAAAUUACAAACCACACACAUGACAAGCUACAUACAUGUUGUGACGAACUUUGCAUCGAGCAUCCUCGAAUAAAGAAGUCACCGGCCAGCACUGGUGGAAUACCUUCAGCAAUCGAAGCCGUUCCCCUCUGGGAGAUCUCAAGCUGCACACAACCAAUGUUUGAAGACUUAAAGCCUCAAGUUCAAUCCAAUUAUUGAAUGUUGUCAAAUGUUUGAGAGUUGUUUAUUAUUCUAUUUUUCCUUUCUAAUGUUAUUACAGUGUGACCUAAAAUAAAUAGGUCCAAGUGUGCAUUUUUAUAUAGAAUUUAAUUGAAUCCAAUAAAAAUUUAAAACUG